ACAUUCUCACGGUCUCUGUUUCGUUUUGUUAUUCGUCUAGCCAUCUCGUGUGAUCAUCAACCAUUGACUAGCAACCACGCGGAGCUCGUGGUUGCGGUCGAAUUGUGCAGUCAUCCUCGUGGUGAUAUUGUCUUCAAACUCGUCAUUUCCUGCGGGUACUAAAAAUACAAACUUACGGGACGAAAAAGUGGUUUUGAACUCGGAAGUGACCGACU
Molecule: non-coding RNA, 215 nt
Organism: Caenorhabditis elegans
Lineage: Eukaryota; Metazoa; Nematoda; Chromadorea; Rhabditida; Rhabditidae
Source: Ensembl